Molecule: ribosomal RNA, 455 nt
Filed under: uncultured bacterium
Lineage: Bacteria
Description: bacterial SSU rRNA
Rfam family: Bacterial small subunit ribosomal RNA
Source: RNAcentral
AGGCAGCAGUGGGGAAUAUUCCGCAAUGGACGAAAGUCUGACGGAGCGACGCCGCGUGGAUGAAGAAGGCCGAAAGGUUGUAAAGUUCUUUUGUUGGGGAAGAAUAACCAUGGGAGGGAAUGCCCGUGGGAUGACAUGAACCGACGAAUAAGCCCCGGCUAACUACGUGCCAGCAGCCGCGGUAACACGUAGGGGGCGAGCGUUGUUCGGAAUUACUGGGCGUAAAGGGCAUGUAGGCGGUCUUGUAAGCUUGGCGUGAAAGACCACGGCUCAACCGUGGGAUUGCGUUGAGAACUGCGAGGCUUGAGUGACGGAGAGGGAGCUAGAAUUCCUGGUGUAGGGGUGGAAUCUGUAGAGAUCAGGAAGAAUACCAAUGGCGAAGGCAAGCUCCUGGCCGAUGACUGACGCUGAGGUGCGAAAGUGUGGGGAUCAAACAGGAUUAGAUACCCCGGUAG